Long non-coding RNA from Vigna unguiculata (cowpea), 1287 nucleotides. The record is from RefSeq and is a predicted model, not a curated record. NCBI's taxonomy places the organism in Eukaryota, Viridiplantae, Streptophyta, Magnoliopsida, Fabales, Fabaceae.
AGUUGCUCUAGGCUUUGGACUUUCUUGUAGAACUAGGUGGGGUAGUAUAGAAUUUUUGGAAGAGUUAAUUUUGGAAUUCAUCUUUUUCUUCUUUAGUGCCAUUGAUUUAUGCUCCAUUCUUGUAAGCUUAAACAAUCAAAGUAUCAUGACAAACACAAUCCAGAAAGUUAGUUGUAUCAGUCAUUAUUAUUGUUCUAUUCUAUGCACAAGAAAAAGCUGGAUCUGUUUUGGAAUUACAUUAUUUAUUGAAUGUGUAUUAGGAAGAAUAUUUCAACAUUAUACUGAGUCCAAAAUGCAACAGUCCAAAGAGGUAGAUGUGCCUUGGGGAACUGCUCUGGUGGGGAUAUUUCAUAGCAGUUGAUGGUUGCAAAGCUGAACCAAAUUAAGGGACCACACAACACAAAGUACUCCAGUGAAAAAGUCCAAUGUGGUCUAUAUAGAAAACAAUCAAUGACAGAAGAGAAUCCAAGUACGUAUCAUUAAUCUCCAAUAAUGUAAGAAGAAAACAUAAUAAGCGACAAAUCAAAACAACAAUAAAAAAAUGAAACACCAUUCAGAAUAUGGCACUCCUUAUCUGCAAACUGCAGCAUGCUUGAGAUAAAGUUUACUCCAUAAUAGCUGAAGUGACUCCACUUCAUACACACCACUCCACAAUUCAAUUAACUUAUAAUGAAAAUUUCAAGCAACCAUUCGUGUUGGAUUCGUAUCUGUCACGGAUUUUGUUUCCAUUGUGGUAAAUUAGCCAAACUUACCACUCUCUCACUGGCUUUAGUACACAGCAGAAAAAGGGUGUCUCAAGAUUCUGCCAACUUAUAACUACUGUGUGAACACAUAGGAAAAAGGAGAAAAGAGAUUCUUCAGUUGUUGCUUGUUUCAACCGAAAAACUGUAUGUCAUUACUCAUUGGAUCUUCGUGUCAACAAAUAAGUUGGAGAAUCCGUUCUGUCUGGAACAGUGUUUGUGGAAAAAAGGGGUGAAUUCUUUGGAGAUGGCAGUGUUGUUGAAACAUCAGAAAGCACAUGGGGAAGAUAGCAGUGUAAGAAGAAGAAUCACCCGUGACGUUUUUUUGGGCAACCAAAAUGGGAAAGUAACAGCCCCGUUUUGUUCCAUUUCCGUAAAUGGACCUAAAAUUAAUUAUCGGUGAAGGAAAAAAAAAAACUUUAUUGAAUGUCCCCAUUGCCAGACUAGGUUGUACUGCAUAUCUUGUUAUUUGGCAUCAAUCAUAAGUGGCAACAAAUUAAAGUGCCUGCAUGUUAGUGGAGGGAGGGAAGGAGGCAAAAGCACAAAA